RNAcentral lists this ribosomal RNA (506 nucleotides) under uncultured bacterium. RNAcentral describes it as "bacterial SSU rRNA". It matches the Rfam family "Bacterial small subunit ribosomal RNA", at positions 32 to 524 of the family's 1533-position model. The record is from RNAcentral.
GACGAAACGCUGGCGGCGUGGAUUAGGCAUGCAAGUCGAACGGUAUCAUCCUUUCGGGGGUGAGAGAGUGGCGAACUGGUGAGUAACACGUAGGUUAUCUACCCUCAAGACGGGGACAACCCAGGGAAACUUGGGCUAAUACCGGAUGUGAGCAACUUUUAGUUGUUUGAAAGGUGGCGUAAGCUGUCGCUUGGGGAUGAGCCUGCGUCCUAUUAGUUAGUUGGUGAGGUAACGGCUCACCUAGGCAAUGAUAGGUAGGCGGCCUUAACGGGUGGUCGCCCACACUGGGAUUGAGAUACGGCCCAGACUCCUACGGGAGGCAGCAGUCGAGAAUAGUCUACAAUGGUCGGAAGACUGAUAGUGCGACGCCGCGUGAACGAUGAAUCCCUUCGGGGUGUAAAGUUCUUUUAUAUGUGAGCAGUGCUUCUUAUAUUAACGUAUGGGGAAGAGAUAUUAGCAUAUGAAUAAGCAACGGGCUAACUCCGUGCCCAGCAGCCCGCGGUUAA